RNAcentral lists this ribosomal RNA (374 nucleotides) under uncultured organism. RNAcentral describes it as "bacterial SSU rRNA". It matches the Rfam family "Bacterial small subunit ribosomal RNA", at positions 526 to 896 of the family's 1533-position model. The record is from RNAcentral.
CGGGGGGAGCAAGCGUUGUUCGGAUUUACUGGGCGUAAAGGGCGCGUAGGCGGCCACCGCAAGUCGACUGUGAAAUCUCCGGGCUUAACCCGGAACGGUCAGCCGAUACUGCGGGGCUAGAGUGCAGAAGGGGCAACUGGAAUUCUCGGUGUAGCGGUGAAUUGCGUAGAUAUCGAGAGGAACACCUGCGGCGAAGGCGGGUUGCUGGGCUGACACUGACGCUGAGGCGCGAAAGCUAGGGGAGCGAACGGGAUUAGAUACCCCGGUAGUCCUAGCCUUAAACGAUGAAUGCUUGGUGUCUGGGGUUUUAUAGUCCCCGGGUGCCGUCGCUAACGCUUUAAGCAUUCCGCCUGGGGAGUACGGUCGCAAGACUG